CUAUUUAGUUCACAAGAAACAAAAUGCAGAAGAGGUUCACCACUCAGAAGGCAUUGGACAUUAUAAAAUACAAUAUACUGAAUAGAACUAACUAGACAGUUAGUUGGGAGUUAAGCUUUCCCCCUUCCUUUGGUGCGCCAGUAAUGGCCUUAUUUACAGAACAAAAGCGCCUGUUCACACCUGCUUAUAGGAUGCUAGCUAAAAUCCUUCAGGUCAGUCGACCCGUCUCUGGGCUCCAAAGGUAGAAAUGUGAAAUGACCCUUCUCUGGUAAUGCUAAUGUUUUAAAGGGAUAAA
Xiphophorus couchianus (Monterrey platyfish) is the source of this 295-nucleotide long non-coding RNA. RefSeq lists it as uncharacterized. The record is from RefSeq and is a predicted model, not a curated record. The transcript is spliced from 3 exons. Lineage: Eukaryota; Metazoa; Chordata; Actinopteri; Cyprinodontiformes; Poeciliidae.